UCAAACCUUUUUCAGCUUCUUCUCUCCUUCUUCUCUCUCUCUCUCUUUCCCACUCAUACAUUCAAACCUCUUCAACUUUUUCUCUCUCUCUUUCUCAGUCGCACAGAACACCAUGGCUUGCAGAUAAUCUUCAGUAUUCAUCUUUUACUCUUAAAUUUUUACUCUCAGAUUCAUGACCACCGUUACCAACAACAAAAAGGUAACAACUUUUCUGGGUUCUUUCUUUGUUCUUGAUGAUUUUCGAGUAUUGUUUUUCUUUUAGAUCUACUUAUUUUGGUUGGAUGAAUGUUCUCAGAUCUACUUUUCUUUGUUGACCAAAUGUGUUGGGUCAAAGUUUUUGUCUCAGAUCGACUGUUGUAUGGAUUUGUUCUUCUCGGAUCUACUUUUGUUUUGGUUGAUUUUUUCCUCUGAUAUUCUUAAGCACCUUCACGAGACUUCAAAAAAGAUCUACUUUUCUUUUGGUACGAGAUUUGUUGGAUUUAGGUUUUUCUCUCAGAUCUACUCCUCUUUUGAAUGGUUUCUUUGCUCUCAGAUUUUUUUUUCGAUGUAUAAUGUUCGAUUUAUUUUUUCUUCUCAGAUCUACCUUUCUUUUAGUUGAUGUUUUGCUCUGAGAGCCUUGAGCAACUUGACGAAUACAAAAAAGAUCUACUGUUGGAUGAGUUUGUUCUUCUCAUAUAUAUUUUUCUUUGGGUUGAUGUUUUUCUCUGAGAUUCUUGAGGACCUUCACCUUACUAAAAAAAUGUAACAACUUCUGAUUUUUUUUCGUUCUUCUACCAUCUACUCAGAUCUA
Molecule: long non-coding RNA, 790 nt
Organism: Vigna unguiculata (cowpea)
Lineage: Eukaryota; Viridiplantae; Streptophyta; Magnoliopsida; Fabales; Fabaceae
Source: RefSeq, a predicted model, not a curated record